This 258-nucleotide long non-coding RNA is filed under the name Manihot esculenta (cassava). RNAcentral's name for it is "long non-coding RNA (MESC_LNC006765)". Lineage: Eukaryota; Viridiplantae; Streptophyta; Magnoliopsida; Malpighiales; Euphorbiaceae. The record is from RNAcentral.
GAAUAGUUUGGUUCGUUUAUAGGUCUACUCGUACUUGCUCCUCAACCUCUACUAGUUUCACAGCAUCGGCACUCACCACCUGUGAUCUCGUCAUCCUGAGAUCCUACGAAAGAAUCCUUCCAUUGGAGUUUGUCCUUACUCUGAUACUAAUUGUUAGGUAUUAAUCUAACAUAUCUGAUAGUUACAGAAAUUUAGUAGAAAGGGAAGGGCGUUUGAGAGAAGAAAAGAGAGAGAAUAAAAAGAAUUAAAGAGAGCGAG